This is a long non-coding RNA of Zea mays, 1840 nucleotides long. RefSeq lists it as uncharacterized. The record is from RefSeq and is a predicted model, not a curated record. The transcript is spliced from 3 exons. NCBI's taxonomy places the organism in Eukaryota, Viridiplantae, Streptophyta, Magnoliopsida, Poales, Poaceae.
AAUAAAAAUGUGAUGUAUUUUAAAGUUAUAGAUCUCUUCGAGCUCUAUAUUUUUCAUUUAAAUAUUAUCUUCAUCUGAUUUCAUAUGUAAAAGUUAGGAUUUUAUAACUAUAUUAUGCUGAAAAGAAAAAACGGUACCCGAAUUCCGGAUACCGUAUCCGACCCGAAUUUAAAGUUGCACUAUCCGAGUAUUACCCGUAUCCGUCCGAAUAUAAAAAUAUUCGAAUACGUAUACGAAAAACCGGGUACUUACACUAUCCAUAUUUGAUACCCGAUGAGCCCGACCCGUUUUCACCACUGGUUCGUGUGUACACGACAUGUAUGGGCAAGCGCAUGUGCAUAACUUGUCCUGGAAGCAAAAGUCUUGACGGGACCAGAGGAGAUGAGGCAGCAGCCUCGCAGGAAGGAUGAGAACAAGAGCCCGUGACCCCGGAGCAUUGUUUUGCUCAAGAAGGAUGAGAUCAUGAGAACAAGAGAUGUGCCUAGCAGAGCAUUGUUUUGCAGCUGCCUUCUUUGACAAUUCCACUGUAUGAGUAGCCCAUUUUAUGUGCUCCUUGGGUCUUGUUGUCGACUGUUAUAUAGGAGUGCUCCUUUCUGGCUAUCUCUUGACUCUCCGUCAGCACUGCCAAUUAGAUCCUCUGCUGCAGCAAUAGCAUGCACGGCAAAUAAAAGCUUUCCAAUCUUGGCACCUGUACAAGGUCUUUUCUCCGUCCCAAAAAGAGUACACGCAUGGAUUAGCUCAGGGUGGAUGCACAAUGACACACCUCGCGUGCCUCCUUGAGAUCAACUUCACGAAAGCAAGUGCUGCAGAAGACUAUUCGAGCGCCUCCAAGCCGUAGUCUCCUGCAAAGGGGUUCUUCCGUUGCGGGGAGCAAGCGAGCGUCUAGCGGGACUCUCUCGGGGGUCUGCUUCCAUGCAAACGUGAAAAAAUUUCGCGUUUAGAUCGCCGACGACUUAAUUAUAUUUUUGGACCCUCCGUUCGACGAUACAGCCCGUGACGUCGCGUCUCGGCACAACAGACUGUGAGAUACCUUCUGCGCUGGCGAACGAGGGCCGACGUAGCGCCACAGAUCUUAGGGCCGAACUAGAAAGUCCUAUAAACCGACCAUUUUCUGGCCGAGAGCUAUGCCUAGCCAUUUGUCUCUCGUUUUUAUCUGCAUCCAUACCGCCGAGAGGUGCUCCAAUCUUCGUAUUCGAGUUGGAAAACUUUGAUUUGAUCCUUAAAGCUUGAAGACCAAGAUGGAAGACAUGUAUCGAGAGUCGUUGUGGCAAAAGAAAGGUCGUCCUCGGGAGUUAUAUCUGGAUGCAUCUAGUAAGGAUGCUCCUGUUCCUCCUAAUCUUUCUGUGUCUAAUUGUGACUGCUGCAGACCGGCUUGGGUAUGUCAAUCCAAACAUCUAGACACACUGCUUGCUGCUUCUACACUUGUGGUAGUUUUAACGAUCACUUGAGGUGUUUUUUUUCUAGUGGAUUGAUGGUCCUAAUAAGUUUGACCCUCGAUAUCUCCUUUUCGCUCAUUGGUUGUGUGGGAGGAAUACACAUGAGUGUUUUAAGCGUUGGGUGCCUCCGCCUCCGAACCCCCGCUAAUGACGGAUGAGAAGAACUUAGCCAUAGAAAGACGGUUGGAGUCUCCGCCUCGGUGCAAUUGUGGAGAUCAUGCUGUGAUAUAUGAGGACACUACGAUUGUGGAGAGCCUGCUUUACCAAGUGCCUUCUUUAGGCACUCGACAAAGCAUAUUUUUAUUUUUAUGUUAUUUUGCCAACCAAACUUUUUGUGUUAUGUUCCUACACUAUGUAGACCUACAUGUACCAUUUUGGGACAAUUAUAACAUUGUUUUCUAUAG